RNAcentral lists this long non-coding RNA (267 nucleotides) under Columba livia (rock pigeon). RNAcentral describes it as "partial uncharacterized LOC106145888". The record is from RNAcentral. Lineage: Eukaryota; Metazoa; Chordata; Aves; Columbiformes; Columbidae.
GGGAUUUAAGUCAUAAUCAUUUAUUGUCAUCCAACUGGAGCAUUGAUUUGUCUGUUCAUACACUACAAGAAGUGAAAAUGAAUUACAAUGAGCUAAGUGAAAUUCCAUAUUUUGGAGAAACAACUUCAAACAUAACUCUUCUCUCCUUGGUACACAAUACCAUCCCCGAAAUAAAUGCUGAGCAACUCCAAGUUUAUCUUUCAUUGGAAAAUCUAGAUCUCAGUUCUAAUCUUAUCUCGGAAAUUAAGGCUUCUUCUUUUCCACGGA